RNAcentral lists this ribosomal RNA (463 nucleotides) under uncultured bacterium. RNAcentral's name for it is "partial 16S ribosomal RNA". It matches the Rfam family "Bacterial small subunit ribosomal RNA", at positions 28 to 507 of the family's 1533-position model. The record is from RNAcentral.
GAUGAACGCUGACAGAAUGCUUAACACAUGCAAGUCGAUGGGGAAGUGGUGCUUGCACCAUGGCAACCCUGGCGGACGGGUGAGUAACGCGUAAGGGACUUACCUGCAGGACUGGGAUAACAGGGGGAAACUCCUGACAAGACCGGAUAAUGUCAUGGAGCUGCAUGGCUUUAUGAUGAAAGGAGACGCCUGCGGAGAGCCUUGCGUCCUAUUAGCUAGCUGGUGAGGUAAUGGCUCACCAAGGCGAAGAUAGGUAGCCGGCCUGAGAGGGUGGACGGCCACGAGGGGACUGAGAUACGGCCCUUACUCCUACGGGAGGCAGCAGUGGGGAAUAUUGGACAAUGGGGGCAACCCUGAUCCAGCAAUUCUGUGUGCACGAAGAAGGUUUUCGGAUUGUAAAGUGCUUUCAGCAGGGAAGAAGUAAGUGACGGUACCUGCAGAAGAAGCGACGGCUAAAUACGUG